AUUGAACGCUGGCGGCAGGCCUAACACAUGCAAGUCGAACGGUAACAGGAAGAAGCUUGCUUCUUUGCUGACGAGUGGCGGACGGGUGAGUAAUGUCUGGGAAACUGCCUGAUGGAGGGGGAUAACUACUGGAAACGGUAGCUAAUACCGCAUAACGUCGCAAGACCAAAGGGGGGGACCUUCGGGCCUCUUGCCAUCGGAUGUGCCCAGAUGGGAUUCGCUAGUAGGUGGGGUAACGGCUAACCUAGGCGACGAUCCCUAGCUGGUCUGAGAGGAUGACCAGCCACACUGGAACUGAGACACGGUCCAGACUCCUGCGGGAGGCAGCAGUGGGGAAUAUUGCGCAAUGGGCGCAAGCCUGAUGCAGCCAUGCCGCGUGUAUGAAGAAGGCCUUCGGGUUGUAAAGUACUUUCAGCGGGGAGGAAGGGAGUAAAGUUAAUACCUUUGCUCAUUGACGUUACCCGCAGAAGAAGCACCGGCUAACUCCGUG
Molecule: ribosomal RNA, 490 nt
Filed under: uncultured bacterium
Lineage: Bacteria
Description: partial 16S ribosomal RNA
Rfam family: Bacterial small subunit ribosomal RNA
Source: RNAcentral